Molecule: microRNA precursor, 88 nt
Filed under: Canis lupus dingo (dingo)
Lineage: Eukaryota; Metazoa; Chordata; Mammalia; Carnivora; Canidae
Description: mir-8799 microRNA precursor family
Rfam family: mir-8799 microRNA precursor family
Source: Rfam by way of RNAcentral
AGGGGAGGCCGGAUCCUGGGCUGUGUCCCGGCGCCCUGUGCUCCGGAGCCUGCGCUGUUGGAUUCGCGCUCCCGCCCGGCAGCCCCCU